This 257-nucleotide unclassified non-coding RNA is filed under the name plant metagenome. RNAcentral describes it as "partial contains small subunit ribosomal RNA, internal transcribed spacer 1, and 5.8S ribosomal RNA". The record is from RNAcentral.
UUUCCGUAGGUGAACCUGCGGAAGGAUCAUUAUCGAGUUUUGACUGGGUUGUAGCUGGCCUUCCGAGGCAUGUGCACGCCCGAGUGUGUCCUCUUGCAUAAUAAUCCAUCUCACCCUUUGUGCAUCACCGCGUGGGCACCCUUCGGGAUCAUCUCGGAGGGGGGCUCGCGUUUUCACACAAACCCCCCUCUUAAAAGUGUAGAAUGACCACAUUUUUGCAAUCAAUACAACUUUCAACAACGGAUCUCUUGGCUCUC